UGGGGAAUAUUGGACAAUGGGCGCAAGCCUGAUCCAGCCAUGCCGCGUGAGUGAUGAAGGCCUUAGGGUUGUAAAGCUCUUUUAGCGGGGAAGAUAAUGACGGUACCCGCAGAAAAAGCCCCGGCUAACUUCGUGCCAGCAGCCGCGGUAAUACGAAGGGGGCUAGCGUUGCUCGGAAUUACUGGGCGUAAAGCGCACGUAGGCGGACUCUUAAGUCGGUGGUGAAAUCCUGGAGCUCGACUCCAGAACUGCCUUCGAUACUGGGAGUCUUGAUUUCGGGAGAGGUGAGUGGAACUGCGAGUGUAGAGGUGAAAUUCGUAGAUAUUCGCAAGAACACCAGUGGCGAAGGCGGCUCACUGGCCCGAUACUGACGCUGAGGUGCGAAAGCGUGGGGAGCAAACA
Molecule: ribosomal RNA, 402 nt
Filed under: uncultured bacterium
Lineage: Bacteria
Description: bacterial SSU rRNA
Rfam family: Bacterial small subunit ribosomal RNA
Source: RNAcentral